Long non-coding RNA from Oncorhynchus keta (chum salmon), 1649 nucleotides. RefSeq lists it as uncharacterized. The record is from RefSeq and is a predicted model, not a curated record. The transcript is spliced from 5 exons. NCBI's taxonomy places the organism in Eukaryota, Metazoa, Chordata, Actinopteri, Salmoniformes, Salmonidae.
GUCAGUGUUGUAGUGUUGGUUGAAAUGUAAAGGUCAGUGUUGUAGUGUUGGUUGAAAUGUAAAGGUCAGUGUUGUAGUGUUGGUUGAAAUGUAAAGGUCAGUGUUGUAGUGUUGGUUGAAAUGUAAAGGUCAGUGUUGUAGUGUUGGUUGAAAUGUAAAGGUCAGUGUUGUAGUGUUGGUUGAAAUGUAAAGGUCAGUGUUGUAGUGUUGGUUGAAAUGUAAAGGUCAGUGUUGUAGUGUUGGUUGAAAUGUAAAGGUCAGUGUUGUAGUGUUUGUUGAAAUGUAAAGGUCAGUGUUGUAGUGUUGGUUGAAAUGUAAAGGUCAGUGUUGUAGUGUUAGUUGAAAUGUAAAGGUCAGUGUUGUAGUGUUGGUUGAAAUGUAAAGGUCAGUGUUGUAGUGUUGGUUGAAAUGUAAAGGUCCGUGUUGUAGUGUUGGUUGAAAUGUAAAGGUCCGUGUUGUAGUGUUGGUUGAAAUGUAAAGGUCAGUGUUGUAGUGUUGGUUGAAAUGUAAAGGUCAGUGUUGUAGUGUUGGUUGAAAUGUAAAGGUCAGUGUUGUAGUGUUGGUUGAAAUGUAAAGGUCAGUGUUGUAGUGUUGGUUGAAAUGUAAAGGUCAGUGUUGUAGUGUUAGUUGAAAUGUAAAGGUCAGUGUUGUAGUGUUGGUUGAAAUGUAAAGGUCAGUGUUGUAGUGUUGGUUGAAAUGUAAAGGUCAGUGUUGUAGUGUUGGUUGAAAUGUAAAGGUCAGUGUUGUAGUGUUGGUUGAAAUGUAAAGGUCAGUGUUGUAGUGUUGGUUGAAAUGUAAAGGUCAGUGUUGUAGUGUUGGUUGAAAUGUAAAGGUCAGUGUUGUAGUGUUGGUUGAAAUGUAAAGGUCAGUGUUGUAGUGUUGGUUGAAAUGUAAAGGUCAGUGUUGUAGUGUUGGUUGAAAUGUAAAGGUCCGUGUUGUAGUGUUGGUUGAAAUGUAAAGGUCCGUGUUGUAGUGUUGGUUGAAAUGUAAAGGUCCGUGUUGUAGUGUUGGUUGAAAUGUAAAGGUCAGUGUUGUAGUGUUGGUUGAAAUGUAAAGGUCAGUGUUGUAGUGUUGGUUGAAAUGUAAAGGUCAGUGUUGUAGUGUUAGUUGAAAUGUAAAGGUCAGUGUUGUAGUGUUGGUUGAAAUGUAAAGGUCAGUGUUGUAGUGUUAGUUGAAAUGUAAAGGUCAGUGUUGUAGUGUUAGUUGAAAUGUAAAGGUAAUUUUCGAUUGAGCAGACAUAUGCAGCGUUUACCAUAGAGGGCGUAAAAAAUAAACUCCUGAAACUAGAUCCCCUACAUCCUGGUCUUGACGAGAGAAAAAAACACAAAACAUCAAUGUUCAACCAAUCCAGUAAAUGUGAAGGAGGAAUCUUCUUGUUAAUGUCCAAAUGUAGAAGUCCUAUCACUGGCUCUCAUUCCAUUUCCCCUGACAACCGGAACAUUUAGUUGUACAAUGGAUGCAGUCUCUGCGAACGCAGAAACAUCGCUUUUACAUUUCAAUCACGCUAGAACAGUGAUAUUCACCGCUACUGUUUGAAUCCGAUCACAUUGUGGACAAAAUGUUGCCCUGACUCCUUGCACCGGUCAAACGCUAUGCCGUGCACAUGGACGGCACAGGCUGACCAGACCGCUCGUGAGUUUCUUCUUCUU